CCUACGGGUGGCUGCAGUGGGGAAUAUUGGACAAUGGGCGAAAGCCUGAUCCAGCCAUGCCGCGUGUGUGAAGAAGGCCUUCGGGUUGUAAAGCACUUUCAGUGGGGAAGAAAGCCUUGGGGCUAAUACCCUCGAGGAAGGACAUCACCCACAGAAGAAGCACCGGCUAACUCCGUGCCAGCAGCCGCGGUAAUACGGAGGGUGCGAGCGUUAAUCGGAAUUACUGGGCGUAAAGCGCGCGUAGGCGGUCUGAUAAGCCGGUUGUGAAAGCCCCGGGCUCAACCUGGGAACGGCAUCCGGAACUGGCAGGCUAGAGUGCAGUAGAGGAAGGUAGAAUUCCCGGUGUAGCGGUGAAAUGCGUAGAGAUCGGGAGGAAUACCAGUGGCGAAGGCGGCCUUCUGGACUGACACUGACGCUGAGGUGCGAAAGCGUGGGUAGCAAACAGGAUUAGAUACCCGAGUAGUC
Molecule: ribosomal RNA, 465 nt
Filed under: Vreelandella stevensii
Lineage: Bacteria; Pseudomonadati; Pseudomonadota; Gammaproteobacteria; Oceanospirillales; Halomonadaceae
Description: partial 16S ribosomal RNA
Rfam family: Bacterial small subunit ribosomal RNA
Source: RNAcentral